UGGGGUCACACAUUAAGAGAUUUAAUCUUGAAUUAACCAAUUGGGCUUAUGAAAUUCUAAUUGUGUUAGAAUUUAUUGAAAUCUUAUUAGGUUUAAGAGAACCAUGCUAGCACAUGGUUAAACCUAAUUCUUCUUAGGACUUUGAUUGGAUCAAAUCCAUUGCAUUGAACCUAACCUAAAUCUAUUAGGGUUUAGUUGGA
RNAcentral lists this long non-coding RNA (200 nucleotides) under Elaeis guineensis (African oil palm). RNAcentral describes it as "long non-coding RNA (EGUI_LNC039601)". Lineage: Eukaryota; Viridiplantae; Streptophyta; Magnoliopsida; Arecales; Arecaceae. The record is from RNAcentral.